This 29-nucleotide non-coding RNA is filed under the name Rattus norvegicus (Norway rat). Lineage: Eukaryota; Metazoa; Chordata; Mammalia; Rodentia; Muridae. The record is from RNAcentral.
UCCUAUAACUUUUCCAUGUUCCUGGAUAA